Sorex araneus (European shrew) is the source of this 273-nucleotide long non-coding RNA. RefSeq lists it as uncharacterized. The transcript has 3 exons. The record is from RefSeq and is a predicted model, not a curated record. Lineage: Eukaryota; Metazoa; Chordata; Mammalia; Eulipotyphla; Soricidae.
AAGAAAACUGUCUCCCUUGUGCAUUGCGGCACAGGAGUUGGGACCGCACAGGUCAGAGACCACAGUUCCCCGAACUCUGCCCAUUCAAAGGGCCUGUGAAUUUGUCUUUGUGGGCAACAAAGGCAGAGCAGAAACCGAGGCCACACCCAGCAAUGCUCAGGCGUUACUCCUGGGUCUGCACCCAGGAAGCACUCCUGGUGGUGCUGGUGGGGAAAGAGGGGAGGCAUACAGGAUGCCAGGGAUAGAACCCAGGUCGGUCACAUGCAAGGCGAG